ACAUGCAAGUCGAGGGGCAGCACAGGUAGCAAUACCGGGUGGCGACCGGCGCACGGGUGAGUAACACGUGUGCAACCAACCCCGUACCGGGAGAUAACCCGCGGAAACGUGGACUAACAUCCCAUGACACUCUAGAGCCGCAUGGCUCUAGAUUUAAAAUUCCGGUGGUACGGGACGGGCACGCGCGACAUUAGGUAGUUGGCGGGGUAAGGGCCCACCAAGCCGACGAUGUCUAGGGGUUCUGAGAGGAAGGUCCCCACACUGGAACUGAGACACGGUCCAGACUCC
Molecule: ribosomal RNA, 288 nt
Filed under: uncultured bacterium
Lineage: Bacteria
Description: partial 16S ribosomal RNA
Rfam family: Bacterial small subunit ribosomal RNA
Source: RNAcentral